GCGCGAACGCUUUCAAUCGGUUGAAUUGUGUUUGCAGUUCGGAUUUGGAAUUCUCCGCGGCUUCGCGUGCCAGCCUUUCGCGAUCCAGCUCGGCGAGCAGCUCCCUAAAUCUUUCCGCCGACACUUCCUUUUCCCUAAUCACGAGGGGAACCGGUUCGUCAGCUUCCACGUUGCUGAGCACCGAAUCGGGAUCGUCAUCGCCAGCACUCGCCAUUUCGUUUUAUACCGCAGAAAAUAAAAUUCAAUUGUUAUUGACAAAAGAUCUCCGCAAUUAUCAAAAUGGUUGUUUGUAUUGGUCGAGGAAAAAAAGCACAAAA
Molecule: long non-coding RNA, 317 nt
Filed under: Carica papaya (papaya)
Lineage: Eukaryota; Viridiplantae; Streptophyta; Magnoliopsida; Brassicales; Caricaceae
Description: long non-coding RNA (CPAP_LNC013281)
Source: RNAcentral